Cottoperca gobio is the source of this 1071-nucleotide long non-coding RNA. RefSeq lists it as uncharacterized. The record is from RefSeq and is a predicted model, not a curated record. NCBI's taxonomy places the organism in Eukaryota, Metazoa, Chordata, Actinopteri, Perciformes, Bovichtidae. The transcript is spliced from 2 exons.
AUUGAUAAUAGCAACAAUAAGGCUGAAACGCGAACCUGCAGACCGACUGUUCAGCGAGGACCUGUUCUGACUGGUGCCGGCCGGGAAACCAGGAAGGAAACAUGCUGGGGAUAAACACGAAGGGACAUGGCUUCCGAAUGUGGUUUUUCCCUCGAUGGCUUCCUCCCCAGGGAACUGGUUUCAGAUGGUGUCUUAGAGUAUAAAGUCCCAUCUAGCACCAUUUGAAAUCGGUGUUCUUGAGCGGGAACAGACUUCAUCCACUUCAGUUGCCAGAACGUUUAGGAUUUAGUGGCAUUGUUUGCAUCCAACCUUUUUACAAAAAUAUUCCAGGUGGUAUAUACAAUCAGUUUAUACAACCAUGUGUCCACUGCUUCAGUCCUACGCUCCAGUGACCAGAAGAAAAAAAGAAAAGUGCUGGAAGUCCAAUCUCCUGACCAGCUGGUCGCCCUCUUACCAAGGCUGACCGUUUUCGUCUGGUGUUCAGAGUUUCCAUCAUGUCUAGCACCAUUUGAAAUCGGUUAGCAUGUGGAGGGAAUACCAACCAGGCUUUUGCUUCAGCAGUCGCAUGAGGAAGUUCCUUAAAGUACCAGAAGAUGGCAGCAUUGAGCUGCAAUUCACGCUAUCAUCAAGUUAGUUAUUUUCUUUCUGGGAUCAUUGAAGCGGUGGAGAUUUUACUGGAUAUCCCUGAAGCCUGUUCCUUUGACUUCCCUGUUUGCUUUUUAUUUUUUACUUUACAGAACUCCGUUUCUGCUUUAAUCAUGUUGCCGUCACUCAGCCGUGCUGUGUGUUCCAGCUGCACUUAUCUUCUUCUGUACAGAUGUUAAACAAUAUCUGGCUCAACGCUUCACUAGUUCACGGUUUGUGUAUCCGCCCAUUGCAGACCUGCCAAAUUAUUUCUAUAUUUAAAUAUACAAACAUUGUGCACAUUUUUGUCUAAUUACCAUAUGUGCGGAAUCUUCCAUCAUUAAAGCAAAGCUGGUUUCACUCAAAGUCGAGCAGUCUUUUAUUUAUUAAGUCUCAUUAAAUGAAGCUAUGUUUUUGUUUUUGUUUAAAUAAAAAUGUAACAAAUGG